Molecule: ribosomal RNA, 1422 nt
Filed under: uncultured prokaryote
Description: partial 16S ribosomal RNA
Rfam family: Bacterial small subunit ribosomal RNA
Source: RNAcentral
UUGAAUGCUGACGGCGUGGAUGAGGCAUGCAAGUCGAACGAGAGAGUCACUUCGGUGACAAUCUAGUGGCGAAAGGGUUAGUAAUACAUGGGUAACCUACCUUUAACUCCGGAAUAACAGAUGGAAACACCUGCUAAUACCGGAUGAGGUGUUGUUAGGACAUCCUAAUAACAUUAAAGAGGGGGAUCUUCGGACCUCUCGGUUAAAGAGGGGCCCAUGGGAUAUCAGCUUGUUGGUGCGGUAAGAGCGCACCAAGGCUAAGACGUCUAGGCGGAUUGAGAGGUUGACCGCCAACACUGGGACUGAGAUACUGCCCAGACUCCUACGGGAGGCUGCAGUCGAGAAUCAUUCGCAAUGGGCGAAAGCCUGACGAUGCGACGCUGUGUGAGCGAAGAAGGCCUUCGGGUUGUAAAGCUCUUUCGCCUGGGAAUAAGGGAUACAAGUUAAUAGCUCGCUUAUUUGAAGGUACCAGGUAAAGAAGCACCGGCUAACUCCGUGGCAGCAACUGCGGUAAUACGGAAGGUGCCAGCAUUAAUCGGAUUUAUUGGGCCUAAAGGGUGCGCAGGCGGUCUUACAAGUCAGAUGUGAAAUACCGGGGCUCAACCCCGGUGCUGCCUUUGAAACUGUAAGAAUAGAGGAUAAGCGGAGAAAGCCGAAUUUCCCCAAGUAGCGGUGAAAUGGGGAGAUAUGGGGGAGGAACAACCCGUGGCGAAGGCGGCUUUUUAGCUUUACUCCUGACGCUGAGGCGCGAAAGCAAGGGGAGCAAACAGGAUUAGAUACCCUGGUAGUCCUUGCCGUAAACGAUGCAUACUAGGUGUAGUUGGACUCAACCCCGACUGUGCCGGAGCUAACGUAUUAAGUAUGCCGCCUGGGGAGUACGCUCGCAAGGGUGAAACUCAAAAGAAUUGACGGGGACCCGCACAAGCAGUGGAGCAUGUGGUUUAAUUCGAUGCAACGCGAAGAACCUUACCCAGACUUGACAUGUAGUGGACCGCCAUAGAAAUGGCGUUUCCCUUCGGGGCCGCUACACAGGUGCUGCAUGGCUGUCGUCAGCUCGUGCCGUGAGGUGUUGGGUUAAGUCCCGCAACGAGCGCAACCCUUAUCGUUAGUUGCCAGCACGUAAUGGUGGGAACUCUAGCGAGACUGCCUAGGUUAACUAGGAGGAAGGUGAGGAUGACGUCAAGUCCGCAUGGCCCUUAUGUCUGGGGCUACACACGUGCUACAAUGGUCGGUACAAAAGGCAGCGAAGCCGCAAGGUGGAGCAAAUCCUUAAAGUUGGUCUCAGUUCGGAUUGAGGUCUGCAACUCGACCUCAUGAAGCCGGAAUUGCUAGUAAUGGCGUGUCAGCAACAACGCCGUGAAUACGUUCCCGGGUCUUGUACACACCGCCCGUCACAUCAUGGGAGUUGGUUUUGCCCGAAGU